This 204-nucleotide long non-coding RNA is filed under the name Elaeis guineensis (African oil palm). RNAcentral's name for it is "long non-coding RNA (EGUI_LNC006960)". Lineage: Eukaryota; Viridiplantae; Streptophyta; Magnoliopsida; Arecales; Arecaceae. The record is from RNAcentral.
CACCAACUCUCUAAAGCAGUCAUUGUGUUCCCCCCAGAGAUGAUUAAUUACAUUCUUCUUCUUCUGGAUCCAGGCCUCUUUGGACUUGAUAGACUACUAAGCUAACUCAAAUUCGGCUCGUGCCGACUCCAACUCGACUUUCACACAAGAAAUCUCUUCUUAAUACUUCUCCUCCCGCUCAGUUGCUGCUUAAAGGUGUUCUCU